GGACUAUACCAUUUGAAAUGGGGCCAGGAAAACAAAUCAAAUUACUUUUUUAAUAUUUUGGAAGCUAUUUUCCAACAGCUUGAGUAAUAACAAAUUCAAUCUUUCUCUAUUUAUAAAUUCAAAUUCUUGUACCAGGCAGGAGAACUGGCUGGCUGACUCUCCCUUGGACAACAGUUUAUCCCCAGACACCCUAGCUUGGAGCAUGGCUCUGGCAAUCUAUUAAGGAAUGUUCCUUUUUGAGGGGAGAGAAGGGGCAAAGAAGCAGUUCCAUGUCUCUAACGUUCUGUCCUUCGUAUCUAUCACAAUUUUAAAUAUGCUCAACCUUUGACCCAGCAAUUCUACUUCUAGGAAGACAGCCUGAAGAAAUUCGAGUACAAGUAUUCCAGAUGUUGCUUUUAUCGUACAGAAGCUGUUUUUUUCCAGAAUGCUCCAACACAUUCCUACUCUUUCGCCCUCUAGAUAAAUGUCUUUCAGUGGACUUUAGAGUUAACAAUAGUGAGCAUUUCUCAAGCUACAGCCAAAGAAACUCCCUUAGGAGCAGCCUGUGUGCAGAAAAGCGAAAAAAGUUGAGGAACACUGCUCUUGAUGGUCAAGACUGUCUAAUUGAGAUGUUGAUAUAGGAAGAUAUUGGAAACAUGCCGUCCUCAAGCAAGGACUCCUCCUUUUCCUGAGUUGUCAAGCCCAUGGAAUCAUCCAGCCAGUUGACUCUGUACACGGUUGUAAAGUAUGACUUUUGUACAAUCUCAUCUCUUCUAAUGGGAGUUAAGUUAUUUCAGCCCAUCACAGUCCUUGUCUCUUCCUGCUCCAGUUUCUGGAGCCCCAGUGCUCCUUUGUUACACCCCUGAAUGCCCAGAUUCUUCAUCACAUCCCAGAUACAGCCUGUCUUUU
This 888-nucleotide long non-coding RNA is filed under the name Equus caballus (horse). RNAcentral's name for it is "lncRNA (ENSECAG00000049188.1)". Lineage: Eukaryota; Metazoa; Chordata; Mammalia; Perissodactyla; Equidae. The record is from RNAcentral.